RNAcentral lists this small RNA (94 nucleotides) under Erwinia sp. JUb26. Its description in RNAcentral is "OmrA-B family". It matches the Rfam family "OmrA-B family". Lineage: Bacteria; Pseudomonadati; Pseudomonadota; Gammaproteobacteria; Enterobacterales; Erwiniaceae. The record is from RNAcentral.
CCCAGAGGUAUUGAUUGGUGUGAAUACAGUCUGCUCCCGGCGGACUGCACCCUGUUCAGUUGCACCAACCCACGCGGAUGCGUGGGUUUUUUUU